AUGGCUUUCUCAAAGACCCUUCUUGCAUUCUGAAUACACUUUUUCUUCUGUUCUUCCACUGAAUCUGCACCCUCAACAAUCUCUUCCAUGGCAGCUGCCUCAAAUUUAGCAUAACUAAUCCAAACCUUUAAAUGCUUUGUUCGGUCCAAUAGUCUCUCAUAAAGCUGUCUUGUUCUGUCAUAUUCACCUUCGGAUAUUUCAAAAUCAAUAUAUGCCUUCCACAA
RNAcentral lists this unclassified non-coding RNA (224 nucleotides) under Hevea brasiliensis (rubber tree). The record is from RNAcentral. Lineage: Eukaryota; Viridiplantae; Streptophyta; Magnoliopsida; Malpighiales; Euphorbiaceae.